UCCCUGGUGGUCCAGUGGUUAGGACUCAGCACUUCUACUGCUGAGGACCGGGGUUCAAUCCCUGGUCGGGGAA
Bos taurus (domestic cattle) is the source of this 73-nucleotide non-coding RNA. Lineage: Eukaryota; Metazoa; Chordata; Mammalia; Artiodactyla; Bovidae. The record is from Rfam.